AACUUCCCUGAAAAGUUCCAUAUCACGGGGGCUAUUCGAUGCUAAUGCAGUACGUGUAAGGAAUUGCUAUUUCGUAUGCAGGUGACUAAUUUACUGCUAAUUACAUGGCUACAACUCACAGUAAAGCCUGUGGGGUCCCCUACAGGAUAGCUCCCACAUUACACACAAUCUCCUUUUAAUUUUAACCGAACACUGUGUGCCCGAAGAAGAUCCUACGAUGAUGGACAGACAACUGAGCCAAUGGCGGAAGACUACAGACUACAACCAGCUGAACCAAUCCGGAGAUCCGAUCUUCCUAGGGUCAACCUACUUUCUGUGACGUAUAUAAGAGCUGUGCGGACUGUUUACGCUCUCUGCCUGCUGUUCCAACACGAACUAACGGAAGAGCCGUAUUUACGUGUACCAGAUAUUUUCACUCUGAAUAAACUGUUUACUUGUCAUAAAAUUUACCACUUAGUCUGAAUCGAUCCUUGACCGGCUCACCCAUCUACAUAUCCAAUUGCUAACAGAAAUGGUAGCAGAGGAUGGUUAACUAACGGUCCAGUCGAAGCGGGCAGAUUGGAUGUGAGAGAGGGGUGAGCGCGUGGAGAGGGAGAUUCGAGAAGGACGGGUGAUUUGAUUCUCGGGGGGUGGACAACAAUUCUACUCAACUCGGGAAACUGAUCUAAAGGUGCACCAUAAAUAAGGAUUGUAUGCAUUACAGGUGAACUACAGGUGAAGUCACUCAAUCCAGUCCCAGAGGCUUGGGGACCAUAGAAGACCCCUGGUGACAGCUAGCUGAAAGAGCUACCCAGAUUCAUAUCGCACGGCGGAAGGGUAAGACAUUUUUUCACUGUCGGACAAUAAACAGAGUUCGGGAGAAGAACUGGAAUUAACAGAAUUCGGGGCCAACUCUCGAAUGAAGUAACCCUACCUGUCCUAUCACCCCUGUUUUUGUUCAUAGAAGUGAAGAUGUGUCUGGCUCUGGCUAAGUGAUGUGUAUUUUGUUCCAAAAUAAGCAUAAGAAUCCCUAGAUCUGGGUAGACAAGAAGUUAGAGUAGAGAUUACAUGAUAACCGACUUCGGACAGUUCUAGGAUUGGAGAAGAGGGUAUCCUUAUAGCAUGGAGGAUCCCACAAGGGUGGAUAGGUUUUCCAUGAUAUGGGGAAACCUGGGAGCAAUGUUGAACUUUGUAAAGGUGAUGAAAUCCUACUAACCAUCAAAACUAUUAAGCUCUCUGAUGCAGGCACUCACACCCUCGGACUACAAAGGACGAGGACAGACAUGAUGGGUGUGUUUUCUAUCAAGGUACUGCCAAGACCAGAGGUAACCGGACACACUCCUCUACCACCACUGUGUUAAAAAUACCAUUCAGGUAAUUAAUGUUAGAGUCUAUUCGGCUAUUGAUCAAUUAGAAACUGAGACUGGUUUUGAUAGUAGGGACAAUUUGUGGCUGUCUUAUAUGAGGUACACAGCUAAAACCCUGAGAGGAAAGGACUGUAUUAUUUGAAGUUAUGCUAGACCUGUUCUGGCUACACCCAUUUGCUGUAAGGAGAAGGAGAGGGGUGGUUGUGUAUUUUGAGAAGUUUUUACCAGGUUAAGCCCAAUUCAACCCUCUGUUCCUCUUUGAGCCUUGUGUUUCCUGCAGUACCUCCUCAUCGGGCCUCUUGGGGUGUUGAGGCAUAUGGGGGCAAUUACGAGUGCAUCACGGGUACAGGUAAUGGCAUUGAUUAUGGGAGAUUGCCUGAAGCUGAUUGCAGGAGUAACAUAACCAUUAAUUCCACUUGGCCAGUUACAGGCCUAAACCAAACUAGUGGUCUGGCUGAUGUAUGUUGGACCAGUGGAGCCAAAAGAGGGCUGAGACCCAUUCUUAGAGGAGAAUGGCAAGGUACGUGUGGUCUGACCAGUUUGAUAAUUCCACUGACCAUUGUUGAUGUUGUUGCUGAACAGCUGCUGAGUUCUGUAACCAGGGGACCUGAAAACAUUCCAUCCCAUGGGAGACAGAUGUAGUAGUGCUCCAUGGACAGAGGAUGUAGUUGACAUACACACUAACCUGUUGGGAGUGUCAGUGGGGAUUCCUCAUGAGUUUCAGGCCUUGGGUAGGAAUGAUGGACUCUGGCACUUACUACCUACUAUGGGUCCAGCCAUGGUGGAUGCUGGACAGACUGCAUGGAUUAAUUAUAUCUACUAUGAUCAACAGCGUUUUGUGAAUUACUCCCGUGAUGCACUCACUAGUAUGUCUGAACAGCUUGAGGCCACAUUUGGGGUUUCCAGACAGAAUAGACUUGCCUUGGAUAUGCUUCUUGCCAGUCAGGGGGACGUCUGCAAGAUGUUCGGUAAACAAUGUUGCACGUAUAUAUUCCUAAUACCAGUCCAGAUGAUAGUUUUUAAACUUCACAAUCUAAGGCGGGGUUGAUGCACUAUCUGCUAAGAUGAGGUCCACGGGGGGGGGUGGAGGAGUCUGUUCUCUUGGCCUGGUUUGGUAAGUGCACUGGUAGGAUGGUUACUGGAUUUCUGACCCUAAUUCUUGUAUUAUUUGUUAUUGAUGUGAUGUGCUGCUCGCAUCAUACUGUGUUUUGACAAGUCUGUUACAGAUGUGGUGAGGGCUUCAGGCAUGAUGCCUUUGCUUGAUGCUCCAGUUGGCGAUGCCGAUACGGAAGCAUGCUUUCAGGGGAGGAUGAGACUGACUGAUGAUGACACAUGGUUUGGAGUCCCUGGGUGGCAAGGAGCCCACUUGGUACAGGAUAGAAGUAGCUGAGAGGACCAGAUGGUUUCUAAUAAUUCUUUACUCUGUUUUCCAUGACCAAAGUUUUAUCCUACAUCUUACAUGUCAAUAACAAUAAAGUUUUGAUAAGUGACACCCUUGGGGGGAACAAAAGCAUACAACAAAGGCAUAUAUAACUUGUUAUUAGUAAUAAACUUUUUAUUAUUUUCAUGAAAUGCUAUGACUGCUGAAAUAAAGGAUAAUGAGUGACACCCUAGCGGGAGUCAAAAGGGGGACCUAAAUUUCACACUAUUUUCUUUUGUUCUGUUUUUGAAUGAGCUGUUCUCUUUUGACAUGAAGGUAGUUUACACUUUGUAACUGUUAUAUGAUUCAUUGCUGAGUUUUUGUUCACACCCUUGGGGUUAUUUUACAUUAUAACCAUUACCAUAUAUAUGAUUGAAUAUUAUCUGCUGUUGCCUUGUGUGGAUGUAUGUAUGUGUUAUGCUACCUAGCUGAUUUGAAACAUUCUUAAAAGUAUCAGGGCCAUGGAACUUUCUCAUGCUGAAAAAAUACAGAAGGGAGGGCACAUUCAGAGCGUGGGGUUGCGAGAACAAGCGGUCUUUUUGGUUAGAUAACAGGAGCCAGGUGCGAGAUAACGGUAUGGAGCAUGAGACCCAUCUUUCAGUUUUUGCAGCAAUUUUAGGAGGAGGAUCCAGUUGCUUUUAUUGAUUAAGCUUCUCCAUUGUAUGUCGUGUCCCAUCUGGGAUGGGAAGAGGGGGAAAUUAUUUUUCUUUGUGGGCCAUUUCCGGAUAGACAUACCUAGUUUAGGAUAUUUUUCCUUUUUGGAUUAUGUCUUCGUUUUUGCUUGGAGUAAUGUAUCUGGACUAUAUCACAUCUCUUAGGAGAUGUGAAGAGAGGGUAUCAGAAACUUUUUCCUGCUGGAAAAAGUGGGCUAAUGUGGACAAUCAUUUUACUUUUAUUUUGAGCUGUUCUCCGCUCUGUUAAAUGAGGGUUGUAGUUCCUAGGUGGCUGGUAGCCAACUUAGUACAUAGUGGGAUUGAAUGGAGAACAUGAUGGUAAUACAUAAAUAUCUAUUUCUGUUUAAUACCGUGCCUUAUUUCAUAGUCCUUAUGGGAGAAGUUUCUCUUUGUGUCUGGAUCCAGUUAGGUUGUGUCACGUCUCUGGUGAGACGUGAAGAGAGGGUUUUGUAAGGAAUUGCUAUUUCGUAUGCAGGUGACUAAUUUACUGCUAAUUACAUGGCUACAACUCACAGUAAAGCCUGUGGGGUCCCCUACAGGAUAGCUCCCACAUUACACACAAUCUCCUUUUAAUUUUAACCGAACACUGUGUGCCCGAAGAAGAUCCUACGAUGAUGGACAGACAACUGAGCCAAUGGCGGAAGACUACAGACUACAACCAGCUGAACCAAUCCGGAGAUCCGAUCUUCCUAGGGUCAACCUACUUUCUGUGACGUGUAUAAGAGCUGUGCGGACUGUUUACGCUCUCUGCCUGCUGUUCCAACACGAACUAACGGAAGAGCCGUAUUUACGUGUACCAGAUAUUUUCACUCUGAAUAAACUGUUUACUUGUCAUAAAAUUUA
Oncorhynchus nerka (sockeye salmon) is the source of this 4283-nucleotide long non-coding RNA. RefSeq lists it as uncharacterized. The record is from RefSeq and is a predicted model, not a curated record. The transcript is spliced from 2 exons. Lineage: Eukaryota; Metazoa; Chordata; Actinopteri; Salmoniformes; Salmonidae.